GACGAACGCUGGCGGCGUGCCUAAUACAUGCAAGUCGAGCGAAUCAAUAGGAGCUUGCUCCUGUUGAUUAGCGGCGGACGGGUGAGUAACACGUGGGCAACCUGCCUGUAAGACUGGGAUAACACCGGGAAACCGGUGCUAAUACCGGAUAAUCCUUUUCCUCUCAUGAGGGAAAGCUGAAAGUCGGUUUCGGCUGACACUUACAGAUGGGCCCGCGGCGCAUUAGCUAGUUGGUGAGGUAACGGCUCACCAAGGCGACGAUGCGUAGCCGCCCUGGGAGGGUGAUCGGCCACACUGGGACUGAGACACGGCCCAGACUCCUACGGGAGGCAGCAGUAGGGAAUCUUCCACAAUGGACGAAAGUCUGAUGGAGCAACGCCGCGUGAGCGAUGAAGGCCUUCGGGUCGUAAAGCUCUGUUGUUAGGGAAGAACAAGUACCGGAGUAACUGCCGGUACCUUGACGGUACCUAACCAGAAAGCCACGGCUAACUACGUGCCAGCCGCCGCAGUAA
RNAcentral lists this ribosomal RNA (512 nucleotides) under uncultured bacterium. RNAcentral's name for it is "partial 16S ribosomal RNA". It matches the Rfam family "Bacterial small subunit ribosomal RNA", at positions 28 to 523 of the family's 1533-position model. The record is from RNAcentral.